UUCAGAUGGUUCAACCCUUAAGUUAGCGCUUAUGGGAAUCUCCCCCGCCCUGGUAGUCUUAGUAAGCUGGCCAGCUAAUGACUAAGAGCACCACGCUGACGAGUAGCUUCAUCAUGACCGAGUCCUUAUU
This 130-nucleotide small RNA is filed under the name Escherichia coli. RNAcentral's name for it is "QUAD RNA". The record is from RNAcentral. Lineage: Bacteria; Pseudomonadati; Pseudomonadota; Gammaproteobacteria; Enterobacterales; Enterobacteriaceae.